This 300-nucleotide ribosomal RNA is filed under the name uncultured bacterium. RNAcentral describes it as "bacterial SSU rRNA". It matches the Rfam family "Bacterial small subunit ribosomal RNA", at positions 1082 to 1382 of the family's 1533-position model. The record is from RNAcentral.
AAGUCCUAUAACGAGCGNAACCCCUGUGGUUAGUUGCCAGCGAGUAAUGUCGGGAACUCUAGCCAGACUGCCGGUGCAAACCGCGAGGAAGUGGGGAUGACGUCAAAUCAUCACGGCCCUUACGUCCUGGGCUACACACGUGCUACAAUGGUAGGGACAGAGAGCAGCCACUGGGCGACCAGGAGCGAAUCUACAAACCCUAUCACAGUUCGGAUCGCAGUCUGCAACUCGACUGCGUGAAGCUGGAAUCGCUAGUAAUCGCAUAUCAGCCAUGAUGCGGUGAAUACGUUCCCGGGCCUU